GGGGCUGAGUUGGUUUUGACAGCGAGUUCAACUGGUAAGUAAGCAUGUCGGGCAUCGCACAUUAUCCCGUAAAUCUGUUGUGUAAACAAUUAACUGGCGAAAACAAUUACGCUCUCGCUGCCUAAUCGAAUUAUAGUAGAUUGUGGCUUUAUUCCGGCAUCAGAUGCCGGAACGAGACAUUCCACCUGCAGGUAAGGCCUGAUUCCAGCGGGUAUUCGGAGUGCUAACAAUUUCGGGCUGGCCGGUAUACUGCUUCAGUGUUCUGGCGAGAAAACAGAAGAUAAGUUUUGGUUCGGGUGUUUGUUCCCAGGCCAAAAUCGAAAACCAAUAACAAAAUAAACAUGUAGAAAGCUUAUGAGUGUCUUGUUUGGACCCGGGUUCGAAUCCCGGCAGCUCCACCU
Molecule: transfer-messenger RNA, 401 nt
Filed under: Bacteroidales
Lineage: Bacteria; Pseudomonadati; Bacteroidota; Bacteroidia
Also listed under: 1 other name
Description: UBA10428 sp016699695 Standard tmRNA
Rfam family: transfer-messenger RNA
About the family: Bacterial tmRNA, also known as 10Sa RNA or SsrA, is named for its dual tRNA and mRNA-like properties.
Source: RNAcentral